AUGAGGGAGCUUCUUCAAGGUUCCAAGCUUGUCCAAGGAUCUCCUAUGGUCAAGCUUGAGGGGGAGUGUUGGAAUGAAGAAGUAAGAAGCUGGAGUUGAUGAAGAGACCAAGCAUCAAGAGCAAGCAAAUCCGGAACAAGCAGAUUUGAAUCUGUCCGUACAGUUUUGGCUUGCAAGUAACCAAACCUAACCUAGAGUGUCUUGGAAGUCAAGGCAAGUGGG
Molecule: long non-coding RNA, 222 nt
Filed under: Brassica rapa (field mustard)
Lineage: Eukaryota; Viridiplantae; Streptophyta; Magnoliopsida; Brassicales; Brassicaceae
Description: long non-coding RNA (BRAP_LNC008562)
Source: RNAcentral